UAGAUACCCGGGUAGUCCACGCCGUAAACGAUGGACACUUGGUGUUGGAGGUAUUGACCCCUUCAGUGCCGAAGCUAACGCGUUAAGUGUCCCGCCUGGGGAGUACGGUCGCAAGAUUAAAACUCAAAGAAAUUGACGGGGGCCCGCACAAGCGGUGGAGCAUGUGGUUUAAUUCGAUGCAACGCGAAAAACCUUACCUGGGCUCGAAAUGUACGGGAAGUUGUCAGAGAUGAUAACGUCUUCGGACUCGUAUAUAGGUGCUGCAUGGCCGCCGUCAG
Molecule: ribosomal RNA, 278 nt
Filed under: uncultured bacterium
Lineage: Bacteria
Description: partial 16S ribosomal RNA
Rfam family: Bacterial small subunit ribosomal RNA
Source: RNAcentral